Astatotilapia calliptera (eastern happy) is the source of this 1054-nucleotide long non-coding RNA. NCBI's taxonomy places the organism in Eukaryota, Metazoa, Chordata, Actinopteri, Cichliformes, Cichlidae. The record is from Ensembl.
GAGCCAUACAUAACUGGGUCAAGGACUUUAUUUUACUCUAUUUUAAACUUUAUUUUAGGGCUACGCAGUUGCACUGAUCACAACUAUGGAUAUAAACAUGCUGCUCCUGUUUCUAUUGCUGCUGCUCUUUGGUUCUCAGGCUAACCAUUUCUUUGGGACAGUGAUGACUUUUACCCCCAAAGACAAGACACAUAAUGGCUCUCUCAUGGUGGUCUUUCACUACAAGCUGAGCUUUCGCUCAUGCACCGAUCAAGACACGUGGAGCUGUGUCAGCGGUGACUGUGGUACAGAAAGUGUGGAGCUGAGCAUUGUGGAUGAGGAGGACAAAGAGUGGUGUCAGAGGGAAGGAGUCAUGUCUCGGGAAGUUUCCAGCAAUGCUGUGUUUCAGCUACGAUUGGAUGGCGGUGACUGGAUUCAAACCAAAAACAAGGUGAAGAAAUGGAGAGCUCUGACUAAUGUGGACCUGAGGACUCGUCUCGACACUAAUCAGCCAAACAAGUCACCUCAGACCACCAUCCUGCCAGCCCUGCGGUAAGCUUCUUUAUUGUUUUUAUUGUCAUAAACUUACUGUAAUGAAGGCAGGAAAGGACCCAAAUGCAGACUCAUAGGCAGGACGUUAACCCAAAAAUACAGUUUUAUUUGCUGAGUGGAAUAAAUAAUACAAAACUAAACAGGGAAAUUUCAGGAAUACUGAACUAAUGAAGAAACACACGGAGAAGCACACAGCCACGACAGAUGAGGGAAAAUGCAACACUGGACAGAGGGAAACAGAGGGCUUAAAUACACAGUAAAAUCACGAGGCAACAGAAAACACAUGGGGAACACAGCUGAGACGAAUUAUACACAACGAGAAUGGGAAAACAAAACUAAACACACUGAAUAAGGAAUGCAAGACUUUCACAAUAAAACAGGAAACAAAGGAACACCAGACUGACACAUGAGCUUGACAGAGGAGUGGAGGAGAGGGGGCGAGAGGAUACAUGACGGGCUGGGGAAACAUGGAUAACCAUGGACAUUCAAUUCAACCUACAGGACAAAGACACAACAGAGAGCC